CCACACCCUGCCUCGUCCUUGCGAGGCAAAUCCCAGCCUCCCGCUCGCUCCUGGGAGGCUGAGUGGAGGCAGAGCCGCAGCUCAGUGGGGCCACCACUGCAAGGUCAGUCACACCCCGAGGUCUGUCACACCCCAAGGUCAGUCACACUGCAGGGUCAGUCACAGAUCGAGGUCAAUCACACUGCAGGGUCAGUCACACUGCAGGGUCAGUCACACCCCAAGGUCUGUCACACUGAAAGGUCAAUCACACUGCAAGAUCAGUAACACUGCAAGGUUUGUCACACUGAAAGGUCAAUCACACCCCAAGGUCUGUCACACUGAAAGGUCAGUCCCAUCCCAAGGUCUGUCACACUGAAAGGUCAAUCACACUGCAAGGUCAAUCACGCCCCAGGGUCAGUCACAUCCCAAGGUCUGUCACACUGCAAGGUCAGUGUGGGUUCGGGUUAGUCCGGGGUGAAGGUAGUUUUCCUUCACCCAGCUGGAUUUAGGGGGAAAAAACGAGGGAGAGGGGGAUCAAGCAAGGCCGGGAGUCCCAAUGUCACACUGCAAGGCCAGUCACACUGCAAGGUCAUUCACACUGCAGGGUCAGUCACUCUCCAAGGUCAGUCACUCCCCAAUCACACUCCCAGGUCACUCACACCCCAAGGUCACUGUCCUUGCUGCCACCUCCCCGGCUCUGGCUGCAGA
This is a long non-coding RNA of Melozone crissalis (California towhee), 687 nucleotides long. RefSeq lists it as uncharacterized. The record is from RefSeq and is a predicted model, not a curated record. The transcript has 3 exons. Lineage: Eukaryota; Metazoa; Chordata; Aves; Passeriformes; Passerellidae.